Pyrus x bretschneideri (Chinese white pear) is the source of this 856-nucleotide long non-coding RNA. RefSeq lists it as uncharacterized. The transcript has 2 exons. Lineage: Eukaryota; Viridiplantae; Streptophyta; Magnoliopsida; Rosales; Rosaceae. The record is from RefSeq and is a predicted model, not a curated record.
CCAUGGCAAUUAGUGUUUCCAAUACAUUUAAAGACUUGUCUUUUCUUACCUGCAACUGCAAAGACGAUGAAAAAAACCAAGAGCACAGAAAGGCAGAUUGACAUUGAGGUUUUAGCCAUCUUCUUCCUCAGUUUUUCAAUUAGUAAUUAAAAUUACAAUUGCAUGGCGCAACUUGUUCGAGUUUAAGGUGCUAUAUAUAUAUGCUUGACUUGCAAAGUGGGGAUCAGUUAGGGCAUCUGUACAAAUAUUGAGGUCCAGUCGUUCCACCGUGAGGGCAGGUAAGUUCGUUGGAUCUACGCGUCCAGAGCCGACGGACUUUUAGAUUCCGGCUACUCAUUUUAAAUCAUGCGGUUUUCAUUAGUUCAUCCCACUGAGCCAUCUUACACAAAUUAAGAGUUCAGAUCUCUCUGUCUUUUCAACGGCGUGAAUCUCUAAGUCCUUAGAUUCCAAACAAAGAUCCGGAGAGGAUCGGUUCAAUUUCAAGAGCUGCGGUCAUGUCUUUGGUCGUGUUGGGUUCCAAGGUCAUAGUUCAAGUUCAUGAUUUCCAUGGUAAUUUGGAACAGAUCAUCUAUAUCAAUAUUUGGGCAGUAUGGGCUUGAUGACCCAGAUCAUUUUCUAACACCCUUUUGUGAAUGGGCCAGGGUUAAUCCGUUGCCUGGAACUUGGGCUAGGCUGCUUGUAGUUGAGAGAGAGGAAUCUCUUCUUCCGAGACUUCUCCAUGCAAAUAUUUUUGGCACUUGUUUCAUUACAGUUGAAACUUUUAUUGCUUCGUGUCUCUUACUUUCACAGGAUUACAAAAUGUUAAAUCAUGAAAAGUUGAAAACACAUAUAAAAUACAUUGAUCUAUUGCCACUUA